AUACGGAGGGUGCAAGCGUUAUUCGGAAUUACUGGGCGUAAAGCGCGCGUAGGCGGUUUGAUUAGUCGGAUGUGAAAGCCCUGGGCUCAACCUGGGAACUGCAUUCGAUACUGUCAGACUAGAAUAUGGUAGAGGGUAGUGGAAUUCCUGGUGUAGCGGUGAAAUGCGUAGAUAUCAGGAGGAACAUCAGUGGCGAAGGCGGCUACCUGGACCAAUAUUGACGCUGAGGUGCGAAAGCGUGGGGAGCAAACAGGAUUAGAAACCCUAGUAGUCC
Molecule: ribosomal RNA, 274 nt
Filed under: uncultured bacterium
Lineage: Bacteria
Description: partial 16S ribosomal RNA
Rfam family: Bacterial small subunit ribosomal RNA
Source: RNAcentral